GGACCCGACUGCUAUCAGAAUAGGACUAAGCCAUGCGAGUCAACGUAGCAAUACGUGGCAUACGGCUCAGUAACACGUAGUCAACAUGCCCAGGGGACGUGGAUAACCUCGGGAAACUGAGGAUAAACCGCGAUAGGUCAUAAUGUCUGGAAUGAUUUAUGGCUAAAAUCUACAUGGCCCCUGGAUUGGACUGCGGCCGAUCAGGCUGUUGGUGAGGUAAUGGCCCACCAAACCUAAAACCGGUACGGGCUCUGAGAGGAGAAGCCCGGAGAUGGGCACUGAGACAAGGGCCCAGGCCCUAUGGGGCGCAGCAGGCGCGAAAACUCUGCAAUAAGCGAAAGCUUGACAGGGUUAUUCUGAGUGAUUUCCGCUAAGGAGAUCUUUUGGCACCUCUAAAAAUGGUGCAGAAUAAGGGGUGGGCAAGCCUGGUGUCAGCCGCCGCGGUAAUACCAGCACCCCGAGUGGUCGGGACGAUUAUUGGGCCUAAAGCAUCCGUAGCCGGUUCUACAAGUCUUCCGUUAAAUCCACCUGCUUAACAGUUGGGCUGCAGAGGAUACUAUAGAGCUAGGAGGCGGGAGAGGCAAGCGGUACUUAGUGGGUAGGGGUAAAAUCCGUUGAUCCACUGAAGACCACCAGUGGCGAAGGCGGCUUGCCAGAACGCGCUCGACGGUGAGGGAUGAGAGCUGGGGGAGCAAACCGGAUUAGAUACCCGGGUAGUCCCAGCUGUAAACGAUGCAGACUCGGUGAUGAAUAGGCUUCGUGCCUAUUCAGUGCCGCAGGGAAGCCGUUAAGUCUGCCGCCUGGGGAGUACGGUCGCAAGACUGAAACUUAAAGGAAUUGGCGGGGGAGCACCACAARGGGUGAAGCCUGCGGUUCAAUUGGAGUCAACGCCGGGAAUCUUACCGGGGGCGACAGCAGAAUGAAGGUCAAGCUGAAGACUUUACCAGACAAGCUGAGAGGAGGUGCAUGGCCGUCGCCAGCUCGUGCCGUGAGGUGUCCUGUUGAUCCUGCCAACGAGCGAGACC
RNAcentral lists this ribosomal RNA (1025 nucleotides) under uncultured archaeon. RNAcentral's name for it is "bacterial SSU rRNA". It matches the Rfam family "Archaeal small subunit ribosomal RNA", at positions 19 to 1052 of the family's 1478-position model. The record is from RNAcentral.